GGGGGUAGAUGGGUGCUGGUGUGCCCUCUGGUCUUCAACACCAGUAUAAGGCGUUAAGAGCGUCUUGGGUGGGUUCGAUUCCCACGUACUCCCGCCA
Molecule: transfer RNA, 97 nt
Filed under: Clostridia bacterium
Lineage: Bacteria; Bacillati; Bacillota; Clostridia
Description: tRNA-Sec
Rfam family: Selenocysteine transfer RNA
Source: RNAcentral